RNAcentral lists this ribosomal RNA (200 nucleotides) under uncultured bacterium. RNAcentral's name for it is "partial 16S ribosomal RNA". It matches the Rfam family "Bacterial small subunit ribosomal RNA", at positions 28 to 242 of the family's 1533-position model. The record is from RNAcentral.
GAUGAACGCUGGCGGCAGGCCUAACACAUGCAAGUCGAGCGGGGUUUUCGGACCUAGCGGCGGACGGGUGAGUAAUGCGUAGGAAGCUGCCCGAUAGAGGGGGAUACCAGUUGGAAACGACUGUUAAUACCGCAUAAUGUCUACGGACCAAAGUGUGGGACCUUCGGGCCACAUGCUAUCGGAUGCGCCUACGUGGGAUU